CUCGCUGGGCGGACGCGCUGUGGUGGCUAACCUCCGUUGUGUAAUACUCUAUAAAGUAGAUCUCGCCGUGUUCGGUGCUGUUUGCUCCCGAGAGAGCACGCCCUACGAUGGCAGCCUUACAGGCCAUUUCCUUGGUGAACGAUCUGACAGCACAAAUUGUAAGCCUUGCAAGCCACAAAGCAUUAUCCUUUCUCAAGGAUAGAUCCGCUUAAGCUCAAAAAGAAUUGUUAGCGAAUUGCGUUUCUUCUCUUCCUAAGAGAAGCUCUUUUAUCAGUUAGACGGCCUGUAUCUCAAUCUUCUCUAGUAUUCUGAAUGCACAUUAUCCGGUUCUGUUUUCCUCCUGCCUCAGUAUAGAUAGCAGUUUGAGAACAAACACCUAAAACCCUAUGCAUAUUUACUUAGAAAUAAGUCCCAUUGAAUUUCGUGGAACCUACUUCUGACAGCGUGGGAGGGCUUUUUGCAGUUUCCCUUGUUCCUAUUUUAUUCAAAAGUGCAGAUGCUGCCUGAAUGGCUUCUUUGGACUUAAGUUGGAUACAAAAUACAAAUAGGAUCAACAAAAUUCUAAAUCUAUACAACAAGGAUGGGGAACCUGUGGUUACUGGACUACAGCUCCCAUAAUCAAGGACUGCCUCUCCCCAUAUGAACUGAUCCAGACCCUGUGCUCAUCAACUGAAGCCCUACUCCACAUGCCCCCUCCAUGAGAUGUCCAGAGGGUGGCAAUCUGAUAACAGGCCUUUUCUGAGGAGGUUCCCCACUGUGGAAUGCUUUCUUCAGGGAGACUCACCUGGUGCCAUCACUACAUAUCUUUCAGUGGCAGGCAAACCCAUUUUUCAACCAGGCCUUUGGCUGUUAACAAUCCAUGACCAUUUAAAGCCGAUGGGUUGUUUUUAAUUAUUCCCCCCCCCACACACACACCGGUUUUAAUUAAUGUAGGGGGUUUUGCUUUGUCAUUUUGUUUUCAUAAAGAUGCCUUGAAUUGCCUGCAGCAAGAGAAGUAGUUUAAUAAAUUUAAGAAAUACUAAUAAUCAUCCCUGACCCCUGGCUGUACUGGCAGUGGCCGGUGGGUGUCUGACAAUAUCUGGUGGAAGAAAAAUUGUCCAUCUGUGUUGUCUAUCUUAAGAGGACUAAUAAGCAAUUUAGAAGAAAAUAAUAAUAAUAAUAAUAAUAAUAGAAUUAAAAUAAAAAGGCAGCUGACUGUUAGUUUAUUAAGAGACAGUGCCAGUGCAGGCCAGGCAAUUGCAGUUCAAAUUAAUACAGCAUCCAGCAGGCAGAGAAGAGCCUUCAGCAAUGUGUAAUAGUCCACAAAAGUGUCCCUAUUUUUAUCUGUGAAAUGCUGGAGAGACUGUGAUACUUCUGAACAUAGGCCAGGAACAUAUCUGCAGAUUCCUCCAUUCCUCUGAAACAAAUGGAAGUCGCCCGGUAGCAGAGGUUAACAUAUUCAGCCCCAAGGUUGCCAUUUAAAGUCACUACAAAACUUACAAACUUGAAUAAAUAUCAUAUGACCUUCAAGCAAUGUAUAACUGCCAGAGGUUUAGCCAAUGCUCACACACUACUCUGUAAUGUACUCUGACAGAAAUAGAGCAUGAAAUGAUACUGCUUCAGAAUCAGCAACAGCCUGCACACUAGCGCCGUACUGUUUAUUUUAUCUUCAACAAGCACAAGGAGCUUUGAUACAUUCUGCUGAAAGCAGCCUUUUCUCACUAAACACACCAUAAAUCAUAGAAGUGGCUUUCUUCUUUAUUUUACAAAGUUGCCCAUGUAACACAUUGAACUUUAAAACAACUGACACAGUGUGGGGGGCGGGGGCGGGAACUGAUACUGAAAAGGAAAAAGAUCCCCAGUUAGUUGCAUGGACUCUAGGUUCAAAUUAGGCAACACAUGUGCACACAUAGGCAGAGAGAUAUCUCCAACAUGCAUACAAAGUCAACACACUGUUGCAGCAAUGUACAAUAAAGUAUUGGUUGCAAACCAGCUCUCCUCUGGAGGGCCAAGGUACAUGCAAUACAGGGGAUCUCUAACUGGAUCUCCCUAUGGUUUUAUUUUUGUCCACAGCCUGGGCAAAGAGAGAAAAUACACAAAUGAAAACAGAACAUUGUGAGGAAUGGCAGACGUGCCCACAACAUCCCAAGAAACUCUGCCACAGCCUACCAAUUGGGGACAGUGCUGGCAACACGAUCCAUGUGGAAACAGAUGCAGCCAGUCUCCCACAUGUUGAUCCAGGAGCACAUUGCCAUGUUUCAAACAGAAAAAAAUAAAGCCAAAAGGUCAUGGAGCCCUGUUGCACACUUCGCUAAAACACAAUCUCACAUGCUCAGGAGGUUGCUGCCAUUGAUCUCUCAUGGCCGUAAGCACCAAAAUAAAAUGUAAACCUUAUCUUAAACCAUGCUAGCUUUAACUAUAGCUAGAAUAUACGAAAAAUUGUAACUGAUGGUUGAAUCACCAUGCCCAUUGUAUGGUGUAGGGUCAGGACCCAGUAGCGCUUUUUAGCAGGAUGAAUUUCUGACGUCUUGUUUGAUUUAAAUAUCAUAUCCAAUUGUGAAAAGCCUCACAGAACCUUGACCCCUAAGCCAUCAGGAUACUACAAGGUCUCGCUGAGAUGCGUUUGCUUUCCAGUCAAAGAAGCCAUUUUGUGUUAAUUACCUGCCCUGGAAUUUCUUGGAAUGAGUUUUAAUUUGUAAGUGUGCUUUUGGGUAUUAAAGGGCUAGCACACUCUGGCAAGAUCUUUAUAAGCUUAGGCUGUUCAAUUACAUUUAUGUACAACUUCCUUCUGUUUAAAUAUACAGUGUUACUUCACUAAUGCACAAUGAUGUUCAGACAAAGAAUAUGAAUGUACCAGAAUUUUAAUGCUGAAAACUGAAGUGUCUUCAGUGAUUCAUUUGUGUCAUAUCUGAUAGGUUGCAUGUCCAAUUGAAUGAGAAUGCCUGUGAUGGCCGUGCUAAUUAUUUGACUCGUGGCAAGAACAAAGGUCUCCUUGGGUGUAUGUUAAUGAGCUUACUUCUCAGGAAACAUAGGAUAGAAUUCAAACUAUACAUAAUGGUCAUGCUGCCCAAGACAGGCAGAUGUGUGCUGCAAAAUGUCAUGUAUUGUUCUUUUGACAAGUCUGCUAAUUUUUUUGCUGUUUUCUCUAGAUAACUUGGAACUGGAGUCCAACCUUGAAGGAAACCAGCUUGUGUAUUUCUGAAUGAGCCCCAGCUCUGGAGCUAAACAUGAGCCUAGACAAUCUGUGUGUUCAGCUGCGUGUGGAAACCUGAUAGCUGUCUUAACACAAGAAACUAUUACCUUUCCAUUUUACUUACUAGAAGAAAGAAUUGUUGUGGCUGUGCAUGUAAUGUCCUUGCUGUCCAUUCUGCCCUUUUAGGAGUGUCUUCCCGAACAGUGUCCCUUGCAAUACUGUGUACUACCUGCAUAACAGUAUAGUGUUGAAUGUGAUGGCUAUGCCCAGGGGUGGCACGUCCUCCCAUUUUGUCACCUGAGACGGAACGGGAAUGUAGUAGACAGUAGUAAAGCUCAGGCCUCAACUUUCCUGA
Molecule: non-coding RNA, 3527 nt
Organism: Podarcis lilfordi (Lilford's wall lizard)
Lineage: Eukaryota; Metazoa; Chordata; Lepidosauria; Squamata; Lacertidae
Source: the annotation of a GenBank genome assembly